GGGGAGUUGAGGGAGCCUCGCUUCGCUGGCACUGCACUACCUUUCAUGGUGUCCCUACUACACCCUAUCCAUAGCUGUGUAAAUAUUCUCUUUAUUAGUAUUUGCUCAAAUUAGCCAAUGGAGAUGUGUCAUCUGGUCCCUACAGAGAUGCUAACUACUACAUAAGCUGAGAGGAAUGAUCUAAUAAUUGAUGAUGCUAAAGAACUAGAGGGUAAUUAGAGGAGCAAAGUCCUUGAGAAGAUGCCAUAGAAUGGGAUGCAGAACACAAAUGGAAGGAUUGGCCUUUCGUGGGAGCACUGCAAUAGGAGAAAAGGCAGAAGUUGUAGCUUCAGAUGAAGACUGGCUGAAAGAUCUGGUGGUGAGAAGAUGGGGAAGUUCAAGUCUGCAGAGAGUUCAGUGCUAAAGACCCAUGCCCAAUUCAGCUGAAGACUUGCGGUUUCACUCUGGAGAGACAUUUUGUGCUAAGGAUUACUAGACUCAGUGGUACUAGAGAAAUUGUAUUGAAAGGAGGGGGACUAAAGAAAAUGAGAUGUCAGCGACAGGCUUCGUUCACCCUAGCAGAUGUGGAGGAUUUCUCUCUAACGAUCCAAGAGAAAAGCCACACAGCUACUAGCUGUUUAGGGGACCACAACAAAACGUCCCAUCUGGAUCACCCAUCGCACAGUGAAGCCUACCAAUUGGGAAGUCCAACUCACCAUUAUUCACAAUAGCCAAGACGCAGAAGCAACCCAAGUGCCCAUUGACUGAUGAGUGGAUAAAGAAGACGUGGCUAACUUCUUUACCUUGUGGAGAAAGAUGAAGCCAGCAUUGCAGAGGAACCACAGGAACCAAAUCCUUAAUAAUUAUACUGUAAAUAUGCGUGCCCGUCUCUCAAAGACGCCAAGCAGUAUUUGUGUUAGUUUGCUCAGUGAUCGCAAACGAGAAGCAGCAUCUGCCAAUCUUACGUUUCAAGGUUUACAUCACAGGUGGAAGGUGUGCGUAAUCUGUGGGAAACUACAUAAAUUCAAUCGUUCUCACAAACGAAAAACAUUUUUAUGCUGUGAAAGGAAUCCUUUUUCUGAAACUCGUGCUACAGUUUUCCCAGGUAUUUUCUUGUGUUGUGGUUUACUCUUGCCUCAAAAAUAAAACCCAAAGAAGCAGAAGAAAAGCAGUUUAUGUUCGUGGGUGACAUUUACCCUAUAUGACAGUGCUCCUUUCACUAAGAUUGCAGGCAGCCUUCACAGCGUUAGAUCGAUAUGGAAACUAAUUCAAAUGUUUUUGCGGUUGAAGUCAAAAAGUCAAGUUUAGUGAUACAAAUAAAACAAUGAACUCUAAUUCUAUGCAAAGAGAAGAUAUAUUCUAAUAGGGACACGUCCCAUCCCAUAGUAUGUGG
This 1372-nucleotide long non-coding RNA is filed under the name Equus caballus (horse). RNAcentral describes it as "lncRNA (ENSECAG00000028827.3)". Lineage: Eukaryota; Metazoa; Chordata; Mammalia; Perissodactyla; Equidae. The record is from RNAcentral.